Long non-coding RNA from Falco peregrinus (peregrine falcon), 2119 nucleotides. RefSeq lists it as uncharacterized. Lineage: Eukaryota; Metazoa; Chordata; Aves; Falconiformes; Falconidae. The transcript has 4 exons. The record is from RefSeq and is a predicted model, not a curated record.
ACAGGGCCCGCCCGGGACGGGCCCCGGCUGCGAGGGGAGCGCGGGUGAGGGAGGGCCAUGCAGAAGGAGAGGGGAGAAGGCAAGAAAAAUCAAUGGGCCAGUAUGUUAUAAGUGCUCGAAAUCAUGAGGUUUCGCAUCACGUUGUGUUGCGGUCAGGUGCGGUGUCCUUCCGCGGCAGAGCGGUGUGUGAUGGAGGUCCCCGUGGCACCUGCCAGGCACUGUGCGCUCAGGAUCGCUACUGGAGAAACUGCAGAAGUCAACACUGCUGUUAAAUGGAUUUAUUUGGGAAUUAGAGGUCUUCUGGAAAAGAGGAAGAUCUUCGCAUGGACACUAAACUGGAGUCCAAGGAAGCAAUCUGAUGCUCCAUACUGUCAUCUGCAGCCUGAAAACAACUAUUGCAUGGGGCCUGAUUUUAUUGCCAUUGAAGUCAAUGGUGUCUCAACAUUUUCAGUUGCGUUCCUAUAUUAAUGUCUGUGGCACAAUUGGCAAUUGACCAGGAAAUUUUAGCCUCAGGUAUUUACAGAGAUGUGAGCUGCUUAUGCAGUAGUGAUCUCCAUGGAUCUUCCAUCAAGUUAGCCCAAAAUGAGCUGGAACAAUUUUGGGAGAGACUACAAACAACUUCAGUCAUACCCAAAGCAGGAUGUUAAUGCAGCCUGAAGCUUUAUGUUGGACACUUGGGAGGCCAAAUAUGACAGCUAAGAAGCCAAGCAGUGUUCUUAAGGGUUUGAAGCAGUUGCAGAUUCAAGGAAGGAACAGAGACACUGUUGGCUGUUCUGCAGGAAGAACGAUUAUGUUUAUGUGACAUCAUUAUGGAAGGAGUUCAAAACAAGGUAGUAACCAUUUUGCAAUUCCUUGUGAAGGACAGGGGGAAGACUGUAGAACCGCAUACAGAUACCGAAUACUCAGUGCAGUAUUGCCAUCUGUUGGUAACUGCUUAGCAAAGCUGCAGAACUGCUACAAGGCCUUGGAUGAUGAACCACCACACCGACUUGCUGUAUAUUAUUACUGUUUUCUGCUUCUAAAAGGCUGAGUUUCCUUGGCAGGGCAUUUGCCCUGUACUGCUGCAUUGCUGGGGAACUGACUGGACAAGACAGGGGGCCUAUGGCUCCCAGCUCUGGCCCAGAUUGUUCAGAACCUCUUCCACAUCUGAAGCUACUACCCAGAGCAAAGUCUGUGAAGACCAGGCAAGUCUAUAGCAAGAAUAUUUAAGAAUCCCCCCCCCCCCCCCCCAUCCGAGGGAGAAAGGGAAGGGAAUGGAAUCGGCAAAAUUCCUCUGUGUGAGUUUUAAAACCUGUAAAACCUGUGACAGAUAAAAAGCAUAUUAAAAACACAGUUCUACUUUCUAGCCAAGAAGUGUUUGCAUAUCAUGAAUCUAAUCAACGGCAAUACUUUUUACUACAAAAAAUAUGGCGCGAGACCUGGAAUCAGGCGUGUGGAGUUCCAGUUUCAGCGACUUAUUAGGAAACCCUCAGAGAACCAUGUAGAGGUUCACUUUUUCAACACUGCCAAGCUGAGAUGCUCUGCAGCAAUUUUCAGGAGUGCCAGGCAUCUGUACAGUGGAUUCAAGAUCUGAUACUUCUGCACAAGACCCAUAUCCAUGUUUCCUAAAUAUGCACAUUCCAAAAUUUUUUGUUAUUAAUGAACCAAAAAUCCUUAUGAGGUCUAUAUGAGCCAUACAAUUACUACAAUCAAACAAUUACUACAUACAGAAACUAAUUCCAACAGGCAAGCGGGAGACAAAACUCCCAGUAGUGGUGGGAGCCUUAAACAAAGUAAUCACCGCAUGGGAAUGCUGCAAUUGACCAUCAAGAAAGACUUAGAAAGUAUUCUAAAAAGACAAGCCCAGGAACAAAAAUGGCAGGGCAGAAAAACCAUGGAUAUAAUGGAGACAUUGAUUUUACAAUACACUGUAUGCACAUACUACCUCAUGGCCCAAAGGAAACGGGUAACUGCUGUUUUCUGUUCUGUUUAUGACCUGUAUUGCUUCUCCCUUUGCAAGUUUCCUCCGCUGUUGCAGAUGCCAGGUACCCUUUCAUUCCCUCAAAUUCUGAAGUGAUUCACUUAGCAAAGUUAAAUUCAAAGCAAUUUCUUCCUGUCUAUCCUUAGCAUAAAGUUUGCU